UACACUACACCUGUGACGCGCUUUCACUUUUGAAAAGUGAAGACGUUGAAGACCGACUUUGAAAGAUAUUCUGUGGAUAUUAUGGGGUUUACAGAAGACUGAGGUGGAGGAACAUAAAGUACAGGGCGGCAGUCGUCAGGUGUAGGCAAAUCAUUUAUAGACAAGACAGAGGAUGCAGCUCAGAUGAAUCUCCGGAAAGAACUGAACAUCGCGAAUGUGGAAGUGCACGAAGGUUUUUAAACGACGCCUCGAUUCAUGUCCCGACAUAAACUUGGAAACCGACGUCAAUCACCUUAUUUAUGGCUGCUGUGGCACGGAGGCAAUGCGGUGUGUAGGUCUUGAUGUACUUUGACGACUUAUCGGUCACACAUCCUGUGAAGGACCUUUUUGCUAAAGCCUAAUGUCAUCGUCUACCAGUAGGUACAAUUCCGCAUCACCGAUGACCAGGGUAAAGUUGUAGCAGACGAAAUUUUAGACAUGCAUUAGUAACUAAAGGCAUUGUUUACAGAAAUGCUUUUUAUCAAUUAUUGAUGAAAGUACACUGCUUGGAAUACAAAUAAAACCAUAAAUACAU
Long non-coding RNA from Ostrea edulis (European flat oyster), 574 nucleotides. RefSeq lists it as uncharacterized. The transcript is spliced from 2 exons. Lineage: Eukaryota; Metazoa; Mollusca; Bivalvia; Ostreida; Ostreidae. The record is from RefSeq and is a predicted model, not a curated record.